GCCUCUGAUGAUGACUAAAUUAUAAUACUUUCGUUCUUCUGAAAAUAUUUCCAUGUGGAAGAUUUAUGGAGACCUGAACUGAAGAGGC
This 88-nucleotide small nucleolar RNA is filed under the name Olea europaea subsp. europaea. RNAcentral describes it as "Small nucleolar RNA Z159/U59". It matches the Rfam family "Small nucleolar RNA Z159/U59". Rfam says of the family: This family consists of several snoRNA Z159 or U59 sequences which are members of the C/D class of snoRNA which contain the C (UGAUGA) and D (CUGA) box motifs. The record is from Rfam by way of RNAcentral. Lineage: Eukaryota; Viridiplantae; Streptophyta; Magnoliopsida; Lamiales; Oleaceae.